UAGGGUGGGAGCAGAGGGUGUGGCGGCGGCGGAGAGGGAGGGUUUCGAAUGGGCGGCGGCGCGGCGGGUGGCUGGCGGCGCUGGGGCGGGGUGGAGCAGGGAGAGUUUGGGAUGUGCGGUGGCGCGGCGGGUGGCUGACAGCGACGGGGGCGGGGCGGAGCAGGGAGGGUUUGGGAUGGGCGGCGGCGCGGCGGGUGGCUGGCGACGCCGGGGGCGGGGCGGAGCGGGGAGGGAGGGUGGCUGCUCCUUUUCUCCGUGUGGUGCUCGUCGAUGUGGUGGCCCGCGACGAGGCAACAACACACACCCAUUGGCCACCGGGCGCAGCCACCUCGUCCCUCCUCUACCUCCCAGGGCGCCGCCGGCGAGUACCCCCUCCAGACCCCGAACAUGCGGGGGCAGCACCGACGAAACCUCGUCGUGGCCGUAGGCCGCAGCCGGUGCGCUCCUCUCCGCGCACGAGCGUCCCCCUCCGCGGCCUAGAGUGCCCCGUUCACGCGGUCGCUGGACUCCAUCUCCACUGCUAAUGUUCUAGUUCCACACCUUGAUGUUUCGUUCGAUGUUGUUUACCGACGAGCAGGGGAGGAGGGAGACACUCUUCCUGCUGAACCCGUAGGGACCCGUAGAGUUGGUGUACUUCUUUUACAAGUACCUAAUGUUCAAAUAUUGAUCUUUAAACCACGCGUUUCCGUGUUAAAAGAAGAUCCCGAAGUAGACGUUUAGGUGUUUUCAUACUUUCCUAGUUGAACAGCUUCACCAUCUUCUUCGAUCCCCCUUUCUCUUUUACUUAGUCUAGAGUGGACGUCCCUCUCUCCUGAAUGCGUUGGUUGGUCAACGGUAGCCUCCGAACAGAUUAAGGAACGCACUACGGAAGGACAACGAGGUUGUUGCUGCGGCAAGCGGCGCCGAGAGACUACCGGCGGCGUCUAUAAGAGGUUGUUGGCGGCGACAAGACUGGCACUGCGGAGGAGCUGCUGAACGGCGACUAGAGACUCCUAGUCGGCGACGAAAAAAAGUUGUUGCCCCAACGACGACUAAGAGAGUUCGGGCCUUGACACUGGUCUCUCUUCUUGUUACUUCUAGGUCCCUUGAGGGGAAAGAAAUGAGAAGGAACAGAGGCACUACAGAACAAAGAGAGAACUUACGGAUCCUAGUGUAUAGAUCAUCUUAGUUCAACAAGAGCGAAUUUAAGUUAGUGAAUGGUACGCUGUGACUAAAAAACAAUUAUGUAACAGGUUCAGUAUUUAAAGGACUUGAUCACGUACAUAUAUAAACCCACGAUCAGUUAAUCUCUUACAGGCACUAUGGUACAAACAUGAUGCACGAUCACAUCGACAUAACUACGUUUAUGACGAACACAGGAAUACUUAAUCAUUUAUCGGAAAGUACAGUAAGAGGUUCAAACGUGUAUCGUAACAAUAAAAUCCUCGUCUAAAGAGUAGGAACAAACCUAUUCUUUGGACUUGAACGAAUUAUCGGUUAAAUCAACACAUAAUGGUCAAGUUCAACAAAACAUAUAUAGUACAAGACAAAACGAUGGCCUGUGGAAGUUGAAUUUACGACUUAACGGAACAUGUGUAUUAACAUACAUUAGAUUCCCUUUCGGGAAUUAUCAGUCGACUGGAAUACUUGACAUAUUUACAUAUUUUUAGAACACAACAAUUUGGCUCGAAUAUCUGUUAACCGUUGGAGAAUAACAUCAUCGACCUGGAAGAAGGUGGUAGGGAGAUUAUUUCCUAUUUAGUACUACGAAGACGACAGUAUUGAACAAAAGAACAAAUGGUAGGUCCAUGUUACCCUGGUUCGAGUUGGAGGAGUAGGCAUCGAUGAUGUGCUGACGGUAGGACAUAUAAGGGAGGUCAAGUACCUCGUAUACUUGGAGAAUGACAUCAUCGACCACUUACUUCAAAGGUUUACAACUUCCUCCUCCUGUUAUCCUUGAAGACAAUACAGAAUACUUCAAAAGUUUACAACUACCUCCUAUUAUCCUUAAAGACAAUACAGAACAGCAGAUUUAAAGACAAGAUCAAAAGAAACAGCAUCUUAUCAAAACAAACCAUGAAUUACAAGAACCCUACAUUUUUAUACAUAACGACCUUACUUACCAACAUUAUAUUAUUGUAACGUGCAACGAAACUUUUACAUAGUCUUGACCCGAUCCGGGUUCUAUCGAAAACCACACUACACAACAUUACAGUUACCG
RNAcentral lists this ribosomal RNA (2200 nucleotides) under Triticum aestivum (bread wheat). RNAcentral's name for it is "partial small subunit ribosomal RNA". Lineage: Eukaryota; Viridiplantae; Streptophyta; Magnoliopsida; Poales; Poaceae. The record is from RNAcentral.